Molecule: non-coding RNA, 183 nt
Organism: Caldalkalibacillus thermarum TA2.A1
Lineage: Bacteria; Bacillati; Bacillota; Bacilli; Caryophanales; Bacillaceae
Rfam family: 6S / SsrS RNA
About the family: E. coli 6S RNA was the first non coding RNA to be sequenced, but its function was unknown until recently. It consists of 184 nucleotides that fold into an extended hairpin structure with a large single-stranded internal bulge. The 6S RNA specifically associates with RNA polymerase holoenzyme containing the sigma70 specificity factor.
Source: Rfam
AGAGUCCUGAGUUGUACGUGGUUUACGGAAGUUUUGAGCCAACACCAACACAAAGGGAGUCCGGAGUCUUCUUGUGGAGCAUAAGCCUCUAUCUGGAGAGGACAUGUGAAGCAAGGAGCAGGACACCCACCUGCCGAGACAGGGAUUCAAAACCAUGUAAAUCACGGCAAAUUUGGGGCCUCU